AAGUAAAAAGUCGUAACAAGGUUUCCGUAGGUGAACCUGCGGAAGGAUCAUUAUUGAAAUAAACCUGAUGAGUUGCUGCUGGUUCUCUAGGGAGCAUGUGCACGCUUGUCAUCUUUAUAUCUCCACCUGUGAACCUUUUGUAGACCUGAAUAUCUCUCUGAAUGCCUGCAAAAAUUCAGGUUUGAGGAUUGAUUCAUUUCUUUCCUUGCAUUUUCAGGUCUAUGUUUUUCAUUAUACCCCCAUGUAUGUUUAUAGAAUGUAAUAAACGGGCCUUUGUGCCUAUAAACUUAUACAACUUUCAGCAACGGAUCUCUUGGCUCUCGCAUCGAUGAAGAACGCAGCGAAAUGCGAUAAGUAAUGUGAAUUGCAGAAUUCAGUGAAUCAUCGAAUCUUUGAACGCACCUUGCGCUCCUUGGUAUUCCGAGGAGCAUGCCUGUUUGAGUGUCAUUAAUAUAUCAAUCCUCUUCAGCCUGUUGAGUGUUGGAUGUGGGGGUUAUUUUUGCUGGACUCUCUUUUGAGGUCAGCUCCCCUAAAAUACAUUAGCAAAACAAUUUGUUUACUGCUCAUUGGUGUGAUAACUAUCUACGCUAUUGAUGGUAAAGCACAGUUUAGCUUCUAGCAGUCCA
RNAcentral lists this ribosomal RNA (626 nucleotides) under uncultured Cortinarius. Its description in RNAcentral is "eukaryotic LSU rRNA". The stretch from base 294 to 447 matches the Rfam family "5.8S ribosomal RNA". The record is from RNAcentral. Lineage: Eukaryota; Fungi; Basidiomycota; Agaricomycetes; Agaricales; Cortinariaceae.